This 1356-nucleotide long non-coding RNA is filed under the name Gallus gallus (chicken). RNAcentral's name for it is "lncRNA (ENSGALG00010030054.1)". Lineage: Eukaryota; Metazoa; Chordata; Aves; Galliformes; Phasianidae. The record is from RNAcentral.
GCAGACCCUGAGAAGAACCAAAGCAGGAGAGGGGCUGCGGUGGGUGAGAGAGGCAAAGUGCCCUUUGAAGCAGGGGACGCCCUGCUGGCACUGCCUGUCGCAUCCACCGCCGGCGAGUUCCUCCUCUCUGCUCUCCUUUGGGCGGAUGGCCGUCUCGCAGGGGGCAAUCAGUCAUAACCCAUCAGCUUAGGAAGGUUCCUUUCCCACUCGUGGCACUGUCUGAAAGAGAUGCGGUGUGAGUGUGUAUACAUCGACUGAAAGCAUCGUGACCUUCUCUGUAACUCUUUUCUUGUGUUUUCUUUGUGUUACCAAUCGAGGCCUUGACUGAGUGAUAUUGUUAUUAAUAUAAUUGCUGCUGUAAGUUUAUUCUGUGGUAAUAGGGGAAAGAUCUAAGGGAGGAUGGAAAGCUAAAAAAAGAAACCUGUGAAUGUAUUUGGGGAUCUCUUUGGGGGUUUUGCUGAAUGCAUACAGAAUUUGCAUCUAAUAGGGUCAGUUUCUCUCAUUGCCUUUCUCUGUGCUUUAAUUACUGUUCCAUGCUUGUUGCAGUGUACACAAAAAAGGAUACAGGAUGCAACGAAUCGUGGCUUUUUUAUUAAGAAAGAAGGGGGAGAUGGAAGAUGUAACUGUGGAGGAGUCGCCAAAGAGCUUAACAGACUCCUUGAUAGCCCUCAUCACGGUGAAGCCGUGGGAGUCUGCAGUGUAAGACAAAGGACAGACGGCGCCAAAGGACAAACAGGAGGUGCUUUGGGGUGCACUGUCAGUCCUGUCACGACUGAGAAACCUUUCACCCUUUAUCAGUGCAGGUGGGAGAAGGUAGGGCCAACCAACUGUUAGAGGAACUUUUGCUUGCUUUUGUUUGUAAGUCGAGGGUAUGUAAGGUACAUGUAGAACAGAAUUAAGUUGUUCUGCUUUGAUGGCACACAAUCUGAGAGAGCUCUCUAACAGGGCAGAGCAACGACAAUGGCCUGGAUAUAAAAAUAUCUAGAAAGACUGGCUAAAAUGGAGAAGCAGUAGGGCAGUGUGCUGGAGGAACUGUCUCUACAGAGCCCAGAGGAGGGCCACUAAUGAUCACAGGGCUGGAGCACCUCUCCUAUGAGGAAAAGUAGUAGGAACUGGGCUUGUUUAGUAUGAGAAGGGAAGGCUCCGGAGAGAGUACAUUGUGGCCUUUCAGUACUUGAAGGGGGCGUAUAAACAGGAAAGGGAACAGGUGUUUAUGAUGGUGGACAGUGUUAGGUGAGGUUUCGAUUGGAUAUUAGGAGCUUUUUCAUCCAGAGGGUGGUGAUGCACUGAACAGGUUGCCCAAGGACGCUGUGGAUGCCCCAUCCCUGCAGGCAUUCAAGGCCAGGCUGGAUGUGG